This is a long non-coding RNA of Camelus dromedarius (Arabian camel), 1403 nucleotides long. RefSeq lists it as uncharacterized. The record is from RefSeq and is a predicted model, not a curated record. Lineage: Eukaryota; Metazoa; Chordata; Mammalia; Artiodactyla; Camelidae. The transcript is spliced from 4 exons.
UACCUAGGAGACAGAGAGGCGCGGUCUCUCCCGGGUAUGGCUGUGCUUUCUCUUUGCUCGAGGCCGUGGCGGCUGAGGCAGCCUGGAGGUGUAGCAGCCAGUGUUUGAGCAUAAGCAUGAAAAUUUCAUUCCCUGAUGGCAGAGCAGAAAGCUAGAUGGUCUUUGAGCCUCAGAUGGCCUCGUGGAACUGUCAUACAACCAAGGACUUCCCACCUCCCAGGGACUGCUGACCUCCAGCUCCUGGCUACCUGAUGAAGUCACUGCAGUUGGUUUUCUGUUAGAUGCAAUAUUGACUGUUUCAUCGAAGAUAGCUGAAUUCACACAUCUUCUGCAAUCUGUUGUGAUGUCACAUAUCAUAUGGUCUCUGGAAAACACUGGAAGGCAAUAAAGUGGUGAUUAUAGAGGCCAUGGCUUGAAAUGAAGGAGCCACUAGGAAGAAGCUAGCCUGGAUCAGUGGUCAUCGUACAAAGGACAGUUGACCUGGAGAGAUGUCCCACCUGCUGCAGCUUUGUCUAAACAAGAAAUAUGCCUCUGUUGUGUUAAACCACAGAAAUUUGAAGAUUAAUUUGUUACCGUAGCAUACCAUAGCCUCUCCUGACUAAGACACCAGACAGGAUAUUAAAUAUAUCACUAUUUCAAUAUUGGCUAUUGACCACAUAGUAUCCCUCAGAUACUUUGUUUUGUGAACUGUAUUGUGCCCAAAGUAAGAAUGACCGCCCAAAGACAAGCUCCCAGAAGCAGGUAGGAGAAUACCAAGGUCUUCCUGAGCCCCCUGAGCUCCAGCGGCCCCCAGGCCUGGCCUCUUGCUUCAGUUCCUCCUCUGCCCACGUCAGCCAUCUCCCUGUUGCUGGUUUCCAAAGCUGCUUGCCUUCCCCUCUGUCUCCACCCCCAGCAGAUAGCUUCCAGAGGCUAGGGCCCAGACAACACUGGCUGUUCUCCAGAUGCUGGCCAAAGUGCUUGGAAGUUUCUCUGAGCAUCCCAUUUUCUUUCAGAUGUAUCCCUGGGGAUGCAGAGCUCUCGCAAUCAGGGCAAUCACCGCUUUCUGGCCCCUGCUGACCUGGAGCCACUGGCUGUGUGUCAGGCAGGAAGCUCAGGGCAGUGUUGCCCACUUUUAGUUCAGGCCUGGAGAGAAAGUGAGGGUUUCAAGGCAUUGGGCUGGCUCCUGGCUGGGAUGGGGACAGCCCAGGCAGUGGGAAUGUUCACUUCUCAUCUGGAGAGUUCUCAAACACGCAUCUCUGAGCAUCUCUGUGGACCUGGCCCUGUGCUUGGUGCUAUGGGAGCACAAAGGCAAGGGGUCCUGGCCCCUGGCUUCCAGGAGCUUCCAUCCUGUAGGCUCAAGUAGGACAUUAGCUACAGAAAACCAGAGCACAAGGGAGUAAAUCAGGCGGGGAUUUUUCAGUUGC